RNAcentral lists this transfer RNA (72 nucleotides) under Phrynosoma platyrhinos (Desert horned lizard). RNAcentral's name for it is "tRNA-OTHER". Lineage: Eukaryota; Metazoa; Chordata; Lepidosauria; Squamata; Phrynosomatidae. The record is from RNAcentral.
GCCUGUGUGGUGUAGCGGUUUGAGGGUUGCACUACAACUCUGGAGACCAGGGUUCGAAUCCCCACUCAGCCA